RNAcentral lists this long non-coding RNA (868 nucleotides) under Ornithorhynchus anatinus (platypus). Its description in RNAcentral is "lncRNA (ENSOANG00000045503.1)". Lineage: Eukaryota; Metazoa; Chordata; Mammalia; Monotremata; Ornithorhynchidae. The record is from RNAcentral.
CUUAAGUUUCCCUGGCAACUUUCUCCUGGGGAUCCAUCUUUAUUUUUAACUUUUUUUUUUUAUCGUUAACGAGUCCCAUCGGUUUUUCUAGCAGCCGUGGAACUAGUUUCCCGACUCGGUGUCUUCCCAACUUGGGAGGGAUCUGGGCGGCGGCAGUCAUCGUUUACCAGAUCAAAUUCUAUCAGCAGCCCGACUGGUGCUCAGUGUUUGAUAAGAACGGGACCGGUGAGUGGGCGAUUAUACACCCGACCUUUUAAUAUUCACCUUGUACUCCCCUCCUCCCCCAGCGCUUAGAACAGUGCUUUGCACAUAGUAAGCGCUUAACAAAUACCACCAUUAUCAUUUCACGCCGAGCCCCGCCGUUUCUGUCUCUUGUGAGCCCGUUAUUGGGCAGGGAUUGUCUCUUUCUGUUGCCGAAUUGUACAUUCCAAGCGCUUAGUACAGUGCUCUGUACAUAGUAAGCGCUCAAUAAAUACUAUUGAAUGAAUGAAUUUCCCACGUGCUUUAGGGGCCCCCAUGGAUCAGGCGCUGCCUAGGCACGAAGCACUUGUAACUAAAAUCCAGUGGGAGACCUUGGUGCUUUCCAGCUGAUCGAUAUCUUAUCCUGAUUAAAUGUACUCAUUUUCAGUUGGCCCUUGGAUUCAACACAGCUUUAAGGUGCUCAGAGAGCAGGAGCCAGGACUAGAAUAUUGUAAUUCCUCACUGUAUUAUAGUCCUGUACAAGAUUCUACGCUGCGGGUCUGGUAAAUUCUGUAGAUGACGAUGAUGGAAGAAGGCACCUGUUCUGGGGGCUUAUCUGGAAGAUUGUACCGUAAGCUCCUUGAGGACAGAGAACAUGUCACCCAACUCCGUUGCAUUGAAUUCUCCC